Molecule: ribosomal RNA, 550 nt
Filed under: uncultured bacterium
Lineage: Bacteria
Description: bacterial SSU rRNA
Rfam family: Bacterial small subunit ribosomal RNA
Source: RNAcentral
UAGGGAAUCUUCGGCAAUGGACGGAANNNUGGACCGAGCAACGCCGCGUGAGUGAAGAAGGUUUUCGGAUCGUAAAGCUCUGUUGUAAGAGAAGAACGAGUGUGAGAGUGGAAAGUUCACACUGUGACGGUAUCUUACCAGAAAGGGACGGCUAACUACGUGCCAGCAGCCGCGGUAAUACGUAGGUCCCGAGCGUUGUCCGGAUUUAUUGGGCGUAAAGCGAGCGCAGGCGGUUAGAUAAGUCUGAAGUUAAAGGCUGUGGCUUAACCAUAGUACGCUUUGGAAACUGUUUAACUUGAGUGCAAGAGGGGAGAGUGGAAUUCCAUGUGUAGCGGUGAAAUGCGUAGAUAUAUGGAGGAACACCGGUGGCGAAAGCGGCUCUCUGGCUUGUAACUGACGCUGAGGCUCGAAAGCGUGGGGAGCAAACAGGAUUAGAUACCCUGGUAGUCCACGCCGUNNCGAUGAGUGCUAGGUGUUAGACCCUUUCCGGGGUUUAGUGCCGCAGCUAACGCAUUAAGCACUCCGCCUGGGGAGUACGACCGCAAGGUUG